Molecule: ribosomal RNA, 466 nt
Filed under: uncultured bacterium
Lineage: Bacteria
Description: partial 16S ribosomal RNA
Rfam family: Bacterial small subunit ribosomal RNA
Source: RNAcentral
GAUGAACGCUGGCGGCGUGCUUAACACAUGCAAGUCGAACGAUGAAGCCCAGCUUGCUGGGUGGAUUAGUGGCGAACGGGUGAGUAACACGUGAGUAACCUGCCCUUAACUCUGGGAUAAGCCUUGGAAACUGGGUCUAAUACCGGAUAGGAGCGUCCACCGCAUGUUGGGGGCUGGAAAAAUUUAUCGGUUUUGGAUGGACUCGCGGCCUAUCAGCUUGUUGGUGAGGUAAUGGCUCACCAAGGCGACGACGGGUAGCCGGCCUGAGAGGGUGACCGGCCACACUGGGACUGAGACACGGCCCAGACUCCUACGGGAGGCAGCAGUGGGGAAUAUUGCACAAUGGGCGCAAGCCUGAUGCAGCGACGCCGCGUGAGGGAUGACGGCCUUCGGGUUGUAAACCGCUUUCAGUAGGGAAGAAGCGAAAGUGACGGUACCUGCAGAAGAAGCACCGGCUAACUACGUG